UGUUGAGUCGCCAAGCGGUAAGGCAACGGUCUUUGACGCCGUUAUUCCGUAGGUCCGAAUCCUACCUCAACAG
Molecule: transfer RNA, 73 nt
Filed under: Myoviridae sp. ctj3P51
Lineage: Duplodnaviria; Heunggongvirae; Uroviricota; Caudoviricetes
Description: tRNA-Gln
Rfam family: tRNA
About the family: Transfer RNA (tRNA) molecules are approximately 80 nucleotides in length. Their secondary structure includes four short double-helical elements and three loops (D, anti-codon, and T loops).
Source: RNAcentral